This 463-nucleotide long non-coding RNA is filed under the name Elaeis guineensis (African oil palm). RNAcentral's name for it is "long non-coding RNA (EGUI_LNC012528)". Lineage: Eukaryota; Viridiplantae; Streptophyta; Magnoliopsida; Arecales; Arecaceae. The record is from RNAcentral.
CGAGAAAUCUAUCGUAAUCCUAUAAAAUGCUUCAUUUGUAACAGAUUUGGCCACAAAGCUUGCUCUUGUAAAGGUCCUCUUCCUGACAGUCUUAGGAAGGUUUGGAGACGAGGUCCAAUCGCAAUGCAUACCAGACACCAUUUCCCACCAGAAAGGCAGCGAUCCUCCUUAAAAUCGACAACCAACCAAAAUACCCCACCAACUUCACAAUCUCAAGGCUUUGAGGUGUGUAAAGCCUUUGUUACUGUCUCCUCCUAAAUGGAGGAAACAGAGUUGUGCUUAGAUCGUGUCGCAUUCAUCGAAGCCUAUGGAAGAUAGGUCCAAGAAGACAAUGUUUAGGAUGCACUAGAUCGGAAGGCGAACAUUGCGGGCACCUGGACUACACAGAGACCGACUGGAUCCAAUACUUUUUUCAUUGCCUGCCCUGAUAGAAGCAUCGUCCAUCAACUCAUGAUAGGAGGCC